This 500-nucleotide ribosomal RNA is filed under the name uncultured bacterium. RNAcentral describes it as "partial 16S ribosomal RNA". It matches the Rfam family "Bacterial small subunit ribosomal RNA", at positions 28 to 523 of the family's 1533-position model. The record is from RNAcentral.
GUUGAACGCUGGCGGAAUGCUUUACACAUGCAAGUCGAACGGCAGCACGGACUUCGGUCUGGUGGCGAGUGGCGAACGGGUGAGUAAUGUAUCGGAGCGUGCCCAGUCGUGGGGGAUAACGUAGUGAAAAUUACGCUAAUACCGCAUACGAUCUAUGGAUGAAAGCGGGGGAUCGCAAGACCUCGCGCGAUUGGAGCGGCCGAUAUCAGAUUAGGUAGGUGGUGGGGUAAAGGCCCACCAAGCCAACGAUCUGUAGCUGGUCUGAGAGGACGACCAGCCACACUGGAACUGAGACACGGUCCAGACUCCUACGGGAGGCAGCAGUGGGGAAUUUUGGACAAUGGGCGAAAGCCUGAUCCAGCCAUUCCGCGUGCAGGAUGAAGGCCCUCGGGUUGUAAACUGCUUUUGUACAGAACGAAAAGGUUUCUACUAAUACUAGGAGCUCAUGACGGUACUGUAAGAAUAAGCACCGGCUAACUACGUGCCAGCCGCCGCCGUAA